AACGUAGGACACAAGCGUUAUCCGGAGUUACUGGGCGUAAAGAGCGCGCAGGCGGUCGUUCAAGUCGAGUGUGAAAGCCCCCGGCUCAACUGGGGAGGGUCACUCGAUACUGAUCGACUUGAAGGCAGGAGAGGGAAGCGGAAUUCCCGGUGUAGUGGUGAAAUGCGUAGAUAUCGGGAGGAACACCAGUGGCGAAGGCGGCUUCCUGGCCUGUUCUUGACGCUGAGGCGCGAAAGCUAGGGGAGCAAACGGG
Molecule: ribosomal RNA, 253 nt
Filed under: uncultured bacterium
Lineage: Bacteria
Description: partial 16S ribosomal RNA
Rfam family: Bacterial small subunit ribosomal RNA
Source: RNAcentral